GUGAUGGGAAAGUGGCCAUGGAUGCCAAAUUAUCUUGCUGAAAACCUGUAUUUUCUGAAGCAGGUGUUAGGGACUUAUGAUGUAAUCCAUGUGCCCUGUGGCUAAGGAAGGGUGAUUAGUUGGAGCCCUAGUUUUGAUUCUCCUUGACUAAAAGAUAAUUUAUUCCAGCAGUGACCUAAGUUUUUCCACUUAGAAAAAAAAAAUUGUGGUGGGUGCCUGUGGUAGCUGGACUUGGUGAGCUUCUGCAGCCAUACUUCCACAAAGAGCAGGAGAACUGGUGCCCAUCUUUCUAGGUGAGGUUCACCAGCAUCUCUUUGCUGUGGUGACAUGUGCCCAGCUCAGUCCUUGCCCAGCUGGAAAAAUCCUCCAGCGUGGAGCUGUCCUGCUGCCCCCCUCUCUGGAACAGCAGAACCUUUUGUAAAGGAGAGUUGUGCUUAGGUAGAUUUCUAGAUUAACAGUGGCUUUUUGUAGAAAAACCUAAGCUUUUAGGCAAGUUUGUCAAAGUUCAGUUUCAGAAAUACCAGACAAAAUAGCCUCUGCUCUGACAGCAUUUUAUUUUUACAUUAUUAUUUUAUUUUCUAGGUUGCAGGUGUUUGUCACCCACAUAACAUAUAGUGUUUGCUGUCCCAGAUCCCUUCUGUAUCAUGCUUGCUUUCCCUAGGUCUAGGUGUGUUUGUUUAAGACCUAAAGAUUUAUAAUAUGAUUUCAACUAACGUUUCUCGAUUCCAACAAUUGUUUCUGCCUUUUUAGCCUCAGUUGCCUGGGACAUCCACCACAUUCUAAUUUAAGGACCUUCUGUUGUCUAACUUAGUUGAGACAAGGUGACUCGUCCUUGUUUCCACUGCUUGUGCAUUUGCUUCCUUUCCUUUGGUUUGACCAGCAGGUAACUUGGAACAAGUCUGCCAGCUACCCUCAGUGAGGAUGAAACAUCACCCACAAGCUGCAGAAGAGUUCUGGAUUAUUACAAGUUAACUAUGUUGUGUUACACUGUUGGCAGCAGGAGACUCAAUCUGAAUUCCCAGAAAGCUGAUUGCUUCUGCAUGGAGCUACUUGCAAGCUUUUGCUAAGCUUGUUAUUAAUAGAAACACUGAUGUUGAGCACCUGA
This is a non-coding RNA of Lonchura striata (white-rumped munia), 1105 nucleotides long. Lineage: Eukaryota; Metazoa; Chordata; Aves; Passeriformes; Estrildidae. The record is from RefSeq and is a predicted model, not a curated record.